UUUUUUUUUUUUACUUUGCAGACCAGAGUGCUCCCUUGACAUGAGUUUCACCUAACUGUUGUUCUUUCCUUCAAGUGUCAACCAAAAGAGCAAUGAUGAGCUUGGCGUGGGCCAUGGCUGAACCCGACUGGAGACCUCUGCGGCCCUCACACACAGCCACGGGGAGCUCACAGCCAUGAUUCAGUACGGCGCACAGCAGACAGAGAGGAGACACUUACCUGUAUCAUCUACAGAUACCGCUUGAAAAAUCACACGUAAUUAGGCCCUUCUCACAGGGGAAGCUACUCGAAGCUCUAUCACCAGCUGGCAUACAUUUCCCUUGAGCAACGUCAGAUGAGAAAGUGAUUUCAUUUCCAUCACAGGGGAGAAGACAAACAGAAGACCCAGAGGCAGCGACUUGCUUGGAGGCCUCCAAGGUAUGCAGGGCGGAAUGAAAAGGAUACGUGACUUACCCAAGUAAGUGGGGUUCACAUCUAAACUGUCUGGUUUCAGAGCUCACAGUCCUGCCCACCCUGGAAAGACACAGACGUGCUGACAAGGAGCUUACAGAGUAAAAAGGGGUGGCAACCUUAACAAAAAAGACAAAUCAGUCAUUACAAACCAAGGCAGGACCAUGAUUGAAAAGAACAGGAAAAACAAGAGUUAAGAACAAUAAACUGUUUUAGCCAGGCGGCCAGAGAAGUCUUCUCCAGGUAGGUGAAUGUAUGAGGGAUGAAUACUAUCAGACCAAGAAUGGCUGAGACAGAGAAGACUGUGCUAUAGAGAACAGUAGGCAGAACACAGCUUGGUUAUGUUUGAAGGACUGAAAAAUGGCCAGUGCUUCAGAAGGCCAUAAAGGGGAGUGUGUCUCUUCUUGCUCGCUGCCAUAGGACAGGGAUUGGUCAAUAGAUUUUUUUUUUGUAUGGCACCAAGGAGUAACUAUUUUAAGCUUUGUAGGCCAUGCAGCCUCCAUCACAAUUAUGCAACUCUGACGCUGCAGCGUGAAAGCUACUGCAUAUAAGUAAACAGGUGAGCAUGUAUGUUGCAAUAAAAGUGCACAUAGGGACACUGGAAUUUAGAUUUCAGUGUGACAGGAAACGGAUGAGCAUGUAUGUUCCAAUGAAACGGUAUAUACGGACAGCAGAAUUUAGACUUCAGUGAGACAGUUCCACAAAUAGCAAGUAUGUGUGCAAAAACACGUAAGAGUCACAUUUGGUGCAUUUCCAACACAUUAAUCCUUACAUAUAUCCAAGGCACCUUAACCUUAGAGCUCAGUGAAUUCUGUCAGCUGACGGAAUGUAAAAGCAAGAUACAAUUUUGAAUAAAAUUUAGUAACUGGGCUAUUGGUUUUUAAAUCACUCUUAAUCAGGAUUAUCCAGGAAAAAUAGUAUCAAUAGGAUAUGUAUGUAUAUGAAGAGAUUUGUUAGCAGAUAAAUGGCUCACACAAUUACGGAGGCUGGAAAGUUGCAUAAUUUUGCCCGCCAGCUGGCAACCCAGAAGAGGCAGUGGUGUAGAUCCUAGUCUGAGUCUGAAAGCCCAAGAAACAGGAGCACCCAGGGAAGGAGGGCCAAUGUCCCAGCUCAAGCAGCGAGUCUGGAAGGGCCAAACUCUUCCUUCCUCUGCCUUUAUGUUCUGUUCAGGCUCUCAGCAGAGUGGCUAAGCCCACCCACCCUGGGGAGGGCACAGUGCUUUGCCGAGUGCACUGGCUCAAAUGCUAAUUUCAUCUGGACACGCCUUCACAGACAUUUUCAGAAAUAACAUUUAACCAGUAUCUGGGCAACCCGUGAUCCAGUCAAGAUGACACACAAAAUUUUAACCAUUACAGUCUGAUAAAGAGGAACAAAUCAUCACCCAGGAAAAAGAAAUAUUGGCAUUGAUGAAGAUAAUACAAAGGAAUGUUCCAUCUUUACAAAGAGAACAACAACAAAAUAAUGAAUGCAUCAUCAUUCAAAGAGUAUUUCAGAUUGAUCACUGCCCCAGAAAACUAAAAUUGUCUAAAAUCUUAAGAGGUCGCCUAUAAAACACUUGACGGACACUUUCCUAAAGUUGACAUGACAAUCCUAAAAAUUUAUAUCACCUAACCAGUAAUGAGUUAUGAAGCCAAAAUAAAUUUUUCUAAAUUGACAAUAAAUUUUGAUCAAUCCAGAAGGUAGAAAGAUUAAAUCCUCUUUUGAAUAAUUUCUAUAGAAAAUGAUAAUCCAAGACCACUGUAUUAACAGGUAAUCCAAGAGUAUGUAGCCAAAAUAUACAGGAAACACACAUUAUAGGAAAAGUCAGGUAGUUAAUAAAAAAUAAACAUGUUAUUUGGGGGAUUUUGUGAUAUAUAUUUCAGCUUUAAAAAUUGCGUAAUUUGUGGAGUUCCUAUUGUGGCUCAGUGGGUUAAGAACCUGACUAGCAUCCAUGAGGAUGCGGGUUUGAUCCCUGGCCUAUAUCAGUGACUUAAGGAUCUGGUGUUGCUGCAGACUGAGGCACAGGUUGCAGGUGUGGCUGUGGCUGGCAGCUGCAGCUCUGAUUCGACCUCUAGCCCAGGAACUUCCAUCUGUUGCAAGUGUGGCCAUAAAAAGAAAAAAAAUCUUUUAACUUAUUUUUUUUGGUCUUUUUGUCUUUUCUAGGGCCAAGCCCAUGGCAUAUGGAGGUUCCCAGGCUAGGAGUCAAAUCGGAGCUGUAGCUGCCGGCCUAUGCCACAGCAACGUGGGAUCUGAGCUGCGUCUGCGACCUACACCACAGCUUAUGCCAACGCCGGAUCCUUAACCCACUGAGCGAGGCCAGGGACCGAACCCACAACAUCAUGGUUCCUAGUCAGAUUUGUUAAUCACUGAUCCAUGACGGGAACUCCUAUAACUUAUUUUUUAAAAUGUCUACAGUUCUUUUAGCCAUGCCUACAGCAUGCGGAAGUUCCCAGGCCAGGGCUUGAACCCAUGCCAUAGCAGUGACAACACCAGAUUUUUAACCUGUUGUACCACAGGGAACUCAUCUACAUCCUUUUUCUUAAAGCUGCCGACCUGCCUCUGCCUUGGAAGUGCGCUUACGGCCUAUUUCCCCAGGACAGCUAUCCUUUCCUUCCUUUGGACCUGUUCUCAGGCCUUCAGACUUGGGUCCUGGACUGGAACUAACUGGGCUUUCCUGGACCUCCAGUUUGCAGAGGGACUUAACCUCUGAAACCAAAUUGUUUGCAUACACAGUUACUUUUAAAAAUAUACACAGGAGACGGGAUUGAGACAGUGGAGUAGAAGGAGUAAAGCUCGCCUUCUCUCAUGAAAACAACAAAAUUACAACCAACGGCUGAACAACCUUCAACAAAACAGACUGGAAACUAUCAAAAAAGAUAUCCUACUCCAAAAGACAAAUAAGAGGCCACAUUGAGAUGGUAAAAGGGGUGAUUAUGUGAUAUAAGCAACUCCAUACCCACUGGGGGGAUAGCCCACAGACUGGAAAGUUAACUGUAUCACAGGGGCUCACCCACGGGAGUAAGGGUUCUGCGCCCCAUGUCAGGUUCCCAUGCUUGGGGAUCUGGCAUUGGGAGAGGGAGCCCCGGGAGCAUUUGGCAUUGAAGGCCAGUGGGGCUUACACACAGGAGCUUCACAGAACUGGGGGAAAUGGAGACUCCACUCUUGAAAGGCGCACACAGGCUUUUGUGUGUUUGGGUCCAAGGACAAAGCAGAGACUCCAUAGGAAUCUAGGUCAGACUUGCCUGUGGUUCUUGGAGGAUCUCCUGGGAAAACAGUGGGUGACUGUGGCUCGUUGUUGGGCAAGGAUACUGGAGGCAAAUGUCUCAGAAAUAAUCAUCAGCAUGAAUUCCUCUAGAGGUGGCUGUUUUGCAAAAAUUUAGCACCAGGCCAGAGAACAAACCCAGUGGGAACACAGCCCCACCCAUCAGCAAACAGGCUACCUAAAGGCCCGCCCCCACCCAGGCACAUAGACUCCUCUAAUCACACCCACAGACAAAGCCCCACCCACCAGAAGGACAAGACUCAGCUCCACCCACUAGGGGGCAGGCACCAGUCCCUCCCAUCAGGAAGUAGGCAGCAUGCCCCCAUACCAACUUCAGCCACCCUCAAGGGGGGCAGACAUCAGAAGCAAGAGACUACAACCCUAUUACCACACUAAAAAUCUAUACAAAAUGAAAAAGGCAUAGAAUUAGGACUCAGAUAAAG
RNAcentral lists this long non-coding RNA (4133 nucleotides) under Sus scrofa (pig). Its description in RNAcentral is "lncRNA (ENSSSCG00000059022.1)". The record is from RNAcentral. Lineage: Eukaryota; Metazoa; Chordata; Mammalia; Artiodactyla; Suidae.